GAGAAGCCACCUUCGGGUGGUGGACAGUGGCAGACGGGUGAGUAACGCGUGGGAACGUGCCUUUCGGUUCGGAAUAACCCAGGGAAACUUGGGCUAAUGCCGGAUACGCCCUUCGGGGGAAAGAUUUAUUGCCGAAAGAUCGGCCCGCGUCGGAUUAGCUUGUUGGUGGGGUAAAAGCCUACCAAGGCGACGAUCCGUAGCUGGUCUGAGAGGAUGAUCAGCCACACUGGGACUGAGACACGGCCCAGACUCCUACGGGAGGCAGCAGUGGGGAAUAUUGGACAAUGGGCGAAAGCCUGAUCCAGCCAUGCCGCGUGGGUGAAGAAGGCCCUAGGGUUGUAAACCCCUUUCAGCGGGGAAGAUAAUGACGGUACCCGCAGAAGAAGCCCCGGCUAACUCCGUGCCAGCAGCCGCGGUAAUACGGAGGGGGCUAGCGUUGUUCGGAAUUACUGGGCGUAAAGCGCGCGUAGGCGGACUUUCAAGUCAGGGGUGAAAUCCCGAGGCUCAACCUCGGAACUGCCUUUGAUACUGUAAGUCUUGAGUCCGAGAGAGGUGAGUGGAAUUCCUAGUGUAGAGGUGAAAUUCGUAGAUAUUAGGAAGAACACCAGUGGCGAAGGCGGCUCACUGGCUCGGUACUGACGCUGAGGCGCGAAAGCGUGGGGAGCAAACAGGAUUAGAUACCCUG
RNAcentral lists this ribosomal RNA (685 nucleotides) under uncultured bacterium. Its description in RNAcentral is "bacterial SSU rRNA". It matches the Rfam family "Bacterial small subunit ribosomal RNA", at positions 68 to 789 of the family's 1533-position model. The record is from RNAcentral.